This 361-nucleotide long non-coding RNA is filed under the name Linum usitatissimum (flax). RNAcentral's name for it is "long non-coding RNA (LUSI_LNC001276)". The record is from RNAcentral. Lineage: Eukaryota; Viridiplantae; Streptophyta; Magnoliopsida; Malpighiales; Linaceae.
GUGGCCGAGCCUUGAACGAUUGCCAUGCCUGAAUCCCGUAUCUAGCAGCUAGUGCAGCAGCUGCGACUGCAGCUCCAGCCAAUAAAGGUGUAGCCUAAGGUACAUCCUUAAAUUUGUCAGCUCAAUUAUAUCAACACACCACGCUCAUCAACUGGAAAAAAUGUUCCUAGGUUAACUCAUCCUAGGGUUGAUUGAACGAGCUAAUACCAACCGUUUAAUUUUCAAAGGAGGAGAGACAUGCCGCAGGCCAUAUUACUCAAAAGUGACGGUGAGAUCAAUAAUAACAAGAACUUGAAGUACAGUAUCAGACGAAUCCAGAAUGGUAAAACGAUCCGAAAGCUGACAAGGUAACACAAGACCA